CUACGGGUCGCAGCAGUCGAGGAAAUUUUACAAUGCUCGAAAGAGUGAUAGAAUGAGUCAGAGUGUUUCUCUUAGAGAAACUUUUUUCUGUUGUAAAAAGACAGAAGAAUAAGGACUGGGAAAGACCGGUGCCAGCCGCCGCGGUAAUACCGGCGGUCCGAGUCGCAUCCACAUUUAUUGGGUCUAAAACAUUCGUAGCUUGUUUUAUAAGUCUCUUGUGAAAUUUUAUAUCUCAAGUAUAAAGCGCGCAAGAGAUACUAUAUUACUAGAGACCGGAAGACGCAAAGAGUAUGAUUGAGGUAGCGGUAAAAUGUGUUAAUCUCAAUUAGACUAACAACAGCGAAGGCACUUUGCGAGUACGGAUCUGACAGUGAGGAAUGAAGGCUAGGGGCGCAAAAGGGAUUAGAUACCCUUGUAGUC
RNAcentral lists this ribosomal RNA (420 nucleotides) under uncultured archaeon. RNAcentral's name for it is "partial 16S ribosomal RNA". It matches the Rfam family "Archaeal small subunit ribosomal RNA", at positions 323 to 746 of the family's 1478-position model. The record is from RNAcentral.